GUGGGGAAUAUUGGGCAAUGGGCGCAAGCCUGACCCAGCAACACCGCGUGAAGGAAGAAGGCUUUCGGGUUGUAAACUUCUUUUACCAGGGACGAAACAAAUGACGGUACCUGGUGAAUAAGCCACGGCUAACUACGUGCCAGCAGCCGCGGUAAUACGUAGGUGGCGAGCGUUAUCCGGAUUUAUUGGGUGUAAAGGGCGUGUAGGCGGGACAGCAAGUCAGAUGUGAAAACCAGAGGCUCAACCUCUGGCCUGCAUUUGAAACUGUUGUUCUUGAGUGUCGGAGAGGUAAUCGGAAUUCCGUGUGUAGCGGUGAAAUGCGUAGAUAUACGGAGGAACACCAGUGGCGAAGGCGGAUUACUGGACGAUAACUGACGCUGAGGCGCGAAAGCGUGGGGAGCAAACAGGAUUAGAAACCCUUGUAGUCC
Molecule: ribosomal RNA, 428 nt
Filed under: uncultured bacterium
Lineage: Bacteria
Description: partial 16S ribosomal RNA
Rfam family: Bacterial small subunit ribosomal RNA
Source: RNAcentral